This 255-nucleotide ribosomal RNA is filed under the name uncultured bacterium. RNAcentral's name for it is "partial 16S ribosomal RNA". It matches the Rfam family "Bacterial small subunit ribosomal RNA", at positions 524 to 776 of the family's 1533-position model. The record is from RNAcentral.
UACGAAGGGGGCUAGCGUUGCUCGGAAUUACUGGGCGUAAAGCGCACGUAGGCGGCUUUCUAAGUCGGAGGUGAAAUCCUGGAGCUCAACUCCAGAACUGCCUUCGAUACUGGAGAGCUUGAAUACCGGAGAGGAUGGCGGAAUUCCCCAAGUAGAGGUGAAAUUCGUAGAUAUGGGGAGGAACACCGGUGGCGAAGGCGGCCAUCUGGACGGCUAUUGACGCUGAGACGCGAAAAGCGUGGGGGAGCAAACAGG